Dreissena polymorpha is the source of this 1847-nucleotide long non-coding RNA. RefSeq lists it as uncharacterized. Lineage: Eukaryota; Metazoa; Mollusca; Bivalvia; Myida; Dreissenidae. The record is from RefSeq and is a predicted model, not a curated record. The transcript has 4 exons.
GUCCUGCCAGAGUCCUGAAGUAAAAACGCUUUAGCCUACUGAGCUAUUCCGCCGAGUACACAUUCUUGACGUAUUUUAUACCUUAUAUAAGCAAUCUUCGUAGUUUCACAAAAUUUAACGACAAAAACAGAACUCUCCAAAUUAUUCAAUCGUUUCGCGUUGCAACGCUUUAUAAUUUUUAGGUUUUAAAAUCGUCAAAAGAUGCAUAUAAUGGCUAUAUUAGAGCAUGGUUAAUGUUCAGUAUUACUGUUUCCUCACAAAUAUCAUAACUAAAACGAAAACUUACGAAUCUGAAACAACUUUUUUCAAUUUUGUCAAUUUACCAAAGCGUGAAAAGAUCCCUUUAAUGUUUUGGCUGCUAACUAGUCGAUCAAAAAAUUGUUGCCAUUCGCUUAAUAAGAAAAUCGAUCAUAAAUGUCUAACGGCUGUUAAAACUUUUGCGAAAAUCACGACGAUGACUGAUAAGAAUUGGUCAAUGGGUGGGUUCUCUGUUUCUAUCGAUUUACUUUCUUAAUGAUUCUUAAUUAUUGCUUCCGACACAGGUGCCGAUUGCCUGUGAUUGUGCCUUUCUGGUUAACAUUGUUUACGUUUCUCGUUCUCCCCAUAUAUGUAUAUCUGCUGUCCUAACUUUUACAAUUAUCCAAAAUAUCAUGUCUGUUAACGCAACCAAUUUGACUUUUACGCAAAUUCGUCAAAUUAACGAUACAAAACUUCGAUUAAAAAUGCUAUGCUCAUUUUAGGUAUUUUCUCUUUGGAAUUAUUAUCAUAACGCGGUGACGCUUACACUCAGCAAGCUUAGCAAACGGUCAUAGUUAUUCCAACGCUAUGCGUUUUCAAUCUGACCUAAUUCGUCGAUCAUUGUGCAUGUAUUUGUAAAGCGUCUGUAGUUUCAGUUUCUAUUACGAUGCGAAAUAAAAAUAGCUAAGAGAGGUCGAAAGACGUCCGAGAUUGUUGCGCCAAAAUAUCAGCCGAUCGCAAACUUUUUCGAAUCAAGAAAGCAAGAGCCAAUAAGUGCCGAAUCAUUCGUGUUAUCGAUUUUGUUAGAAACUGUGCAUACAGCAUUUGAGUUGACAUCCAAAAAACAUGAUGGAAAGUCUGUGACUUAACAAAUCUGUCAAAAGUAUAAAAAGGCAUGUCAUUGGUUAGAAAUAUUGACAUUUUUUAAAGUUUAUAUCAUGGACAGUUUCAAGGAUUAAAGAUGUUACGAAACAUCAGUUUAUUAAAAUUUAUGAUGAUAGUUUACAGUUCUAUUGAAUCAAUACAAGUGUGCAGCGUCAACGGAAGUAAAUCAGCAAUUAUUUAAAGGUGGACUUCAAUAUGUAUGAUCUACUUAUGCUGCCACAACGUAAAGGCAACAAUCACUGGGUUUUGCUGGUUGCAAGUGUUAUGUCCAGGACUGUAACCAUUUACGACUGGUUGGGUGGUAACAACAAGGCCUUGUUCGAUUUGUUCUGCCAGUUCAUGUGUCAACGAGCGCAAAUUGUGAAAGAUGGCUUGGAAAAAAUCAGUUCAGUUCCAUGGAAACAGCUGUGGAGUGUUUGCAUUGAUGACUGCCAAAUGUUUGGUCAUGAAAAAGCAUCCCACAAUGUUGCGACAGGCCCAUGAUUCAGUUUAUCGAGACUAGUGGUGAGAAGCAGACUUCUGAUUCCUGGAGUGCGGCAAACAUAUCUGUGCGACUCAAUCACUCCACUGUAAAGACCCGCACGGCAUUAAAAUGGAUAUUAUCAAUAUGUGUUGUUGCUCGAAAAUAUGUUUGUGUAGCAGGAAGUGCUUUGGGCUCGAUUAAUCUGAGAACUCAACAAAAUAUUAAUAAAAUCCUUCUGUGCCUUUUAGUUCUGAAAACAGAA